RNAcentral lists this transfer RNA (65 nucleotides) under Dipodomys ordii (Ord's kangaroo rat). It matches the Rfam family "tRNA". Rfam says of the family: Transfer RNA (tRNA) molecules are approximately 80 nucleotides in length. Their secondary structure includes four short double-helical elements and three loops (D, anti-codon, and T loops). Further hydrogen bonds mediate the characteristic L-shaped molecular structure. tRNAs have two regions of fundamental functional importance: the anti-codon, which is responsible for specific mRNA codon recognition, and the 3' end, to which the tRNAs corresponding amino acid is attached (by aminoacyl-tRNA synthetases). tRNAs cope with the degeneracy of the genetic code in two manners: having more than one tRNA (with a specific anti-codon) for a particular amino acid; and 'wobble' base-pairing, i.e. permitting non-standard base-pairing at the 3rd anti-codon position. Lineage: Eukaryota; Metazoa; Chordata; Mammalia; Rodentia; Heteromyidae. The record is from Rfam by way of RNAcentral.
GGUGGCUCAGUGGUAGAGCGCUUGCCUUGCAUGCGUGAAACCCUGUGUUCAAUUCCUCAGCACCA